AAAUAAUAACAAAUUACAUCCCAUCAAAACCAAAAAAAUAUCAAAUCAGCAAAUAUCAUCACAAAUUAUGAAAUACAAAACUUCUAAAACAACUCAUAGAAAUACAAUCUUGGAACUCCAAAAUUCCAAGGCAUGAUGAUAAUUCAUUCAAUACCUUCAAAAAUAAAUUAUAAAAAAACAGAAUUUUACACUUUAUAAAACAAUAUAUAUUAUAAAAGCAAAACCACAAUGUUAAUAAAUCAUAAUUAUAAGAUUGAACAUGGUAAGCUAGGGAUAAGUUGUAUCUGGAUGUAGUCAACAAUACAAAAUCAUAGGGGUUUCAGAGUUCUUGCCCAAUUAAUUUUCAUUUUCGAUCAAUGUUCACAUACACACAUCUUAAAAAAUAAAUAAGAAAUUA
Molecule: unclassified non-coding RNA, 397 nt
Filed under: Hevea brasiliensis (rubber tree)
Lineage: Eukaryota; Viridiplantae; Streptophyta; Magnoliopsida; Malpighiales; Euphorbiaceae
Source: RNAcentral